This 447-nucleotide RNase P RNA is filed under the name Planctomycetaceae bacterium. RNAcentral's name for it is "RNase P RNA component class A". It matches the Rfam family "Bacterial RNase P class A". Rfam says of the family: Ribonuclease P (RNase P) is a ubiquitous endoribonuclease, found in archaea, bacteria and eukarya as well as chloroplasts and mitochondria. Its best characterised activity is the generation of mature 5'-ends of tRNAs by cleaving the 5'-leader elements of precursor-tRNAs. Lineage: Bacteria; Pseudomonadati; Planctomycetota; Planctomycetia; Planctomycetales; Planctomycetaceae. The record is from RNAcentral.
GGAGUGGGCCGGGUGAUCGCCGGCCGUCGGGCGGGCCACGUCGUGGUCCGGCGGGCGGCGGGAGGAAAGUCCGGGCUCCGCAGGGUGCGAUGGUGGGUAACGCCCACCGGCCGCGAGGCCAGGGACAGUGCCACAGAGAACAGACCGCCGUCGGUUCGUGCCCUUCCGGGCAUGGCCGGCGGUAAGGGUGAAACGGUGAGGUAAGAGCUCACCAGCAGCCCGGGUGACCGGGCUGGCUCGGCAAACCCCAUCGGGAGCAAGGCCAAGCAGGAAGAAGUCCGUGCCGAGUCCUCCGGGAUGCGGCCGGCGCGAGGCGUCCCGUCUCGCACCAGCUUCCGGGUCGGCUGCUGGAGACGCCGGGCAACCGGCGUCCUAGAGAAAUGGUCGCCGGUCGCCUGCCGUGAGGAUGGGCGACGACAGAACCCGGCUUACAGGCCCACUCCAGUC